Neopelma chrysocephalum (saffron-crested tyrant-manakin) is the source of this 583-nucleotide long non-coding RNA. RefSeq lists it as uncharacterized. The record is from RefSeq and is a predicted model, not a curated record. The transcript has 3 exons. NCBI's taxonomy places the organism in Eukaryota, Metazoa, Chordata, Aves, Passeriformes, Pipridae.
CUGGUGCUAAAGGCCUUGUCAGCAAAGACAGAAACAGAAAACAUUGCAGGAUAGAGCAAUGGCCAUAGCAACAACAUCACAUUAAUCAGGGUCUGUAGUCUAUGCAAAGACAAACUUCCCAAACCAACAAUCUGCACACCAACACCAAAAGACACCAACAAAUUGCCUUUCUGUCCAGAAACUAGAAACCCCAAGGUAUUUGCUCUUAGACCUCCCUUCUCCAGGGACAGUCCUUCAGAAGAGGGAGACUCCAGUCUUUGCAACAUCAUGGGCUGUACCCAGAGACCAAAUAGGGAUGAUGUAGCUGUGGAAGACUGAAGGUUAGCAGGCAGCUGGGGUGUCAAUCUGAAGGCCAGCUUGCCUCUCCAGAAGUGGACUUUGGAUGUGUGCAGACAUGGCCUCCACUAUGCGAGAUACUAGACUUGCAAAAGGCGAUCUCCCUGGGACUGAAGCCCACUGUUUUUAGUUUGUGGUCAUGGCACAUUUGUUUGCAAAGCAGUAUUCAGUCAGCCACAAGUCACAAGGUUCAACCUGCUUGGACUGUGCUUCAGGAACCUUAAACAAACAAACAGCAAAUCAUGAG